AAAGUCGUAACAAGGUUUCCGUAGGUGAACCUGCGGAAGGAUCAUUACUGAAUUUAAUGGAGGCAGUUGCUGACUCUUUCACGAGAGUAUUGUGCACGCCUUCAAAUUCAUCUCUUACCACUGUGAACUGUAGUAGACUAUGAUAUCUCUCAAUGGCUUGCCAUUGGAUUGAAGGACCUGCGUUACAGCUGUCUUUCGAUUUCAUAGUCUCCCCCUUAUCCUAUAAACUUAAAAGUCUUAGAAUGUCUUUUGUGGGUGUGAAAACCUAUAAACUUAUACAACUUUCAACAACGGAUCUCUUGGCUCUC
Molecule: unclassified non-coding RNA, 308 nt
Filed under: Basidiomycota sp.
Lineage: Eukaryota; Fungi; Basidiomycota
Description: partial contains small subunit ribosomal RNA, internal transcribed spacer 1, and 5.8S ribosomal RNA
Rfam family: Eukaryotic small subunit ribosomal RNA (bases 1-47)
Source: RNAcentral